Hypanus sabinus (Atlantic stingray) is the source of this 146-nucleotide long non-coding RNA. RefSeq lists it as uncharacterized. The record is from RefSeq and is a predicted model, not a curated record. Lineage: Eukaryota; Metazoa; Chordata; Chondrichthyes; Myliobatiformes; Dasyatidae. The transcript has 3 exons.
AUGAAAGUUGCUAGAUAUGCUGCUCAACCUGCUGAGAUCUUCUGAUAUUUCUUAAAGGCCAGAUCUUUGGGUCUGGUGAUGAACUUGGAUUAGAAGGAUUUCUUUGAAUCAUUGGGGAAGCAAAGAUAAGUAGACUUCGGAGUCCC